AUGAAUCUUAUUUUCAGUUUUGUGUGUGUAGUUAAGAUGAUUAUUCCUUAACGAUCGAGGAUUCAGAACGUUUUAUAAUGGAUAUUGGUUACCGUAACAAACCUAAAUAAUACCGAUCGAAUUUCCUACGCGUAACGAACCGAAAUGAUAUAAAUCGAAUGCAAAAAAAUCGUUGCCUGCCGCAAAGCGUGGGCUUUCUUACUACCUUAGUUUAUACAAUAAGCAAGAAAUACAAAAAUAAAAAAGAAGCACCCAAUAUUAUAUUAUAAAUAAUAUUAAAAGACAGUGAAAUUUAAGAGACUUAUAAAUAACAAAGGGUUUGCCAAAUUCUUUAAAUAUUUUUAGAUGAGAGGUUUUAAGUUCAAGUCCCGUAAAUAACAAGGGAUAAAAGAAAUUUUUCGUUAAAAAGAAAAGAGAAAGUGUUGCUUGGAUUAUAUUAUACGUGUUUAGAUGAGAGGUUUUAUACAUUUAUUUAGUUUACAUGAUGUAAUGAAUUGUUAGACAAAGAGUCAAUAUACCAUCAAAUGGAAUUGAACGAUUGGGAAAGUAAUCAAUUAUUCACACUUAAAUAAGUAAUAAAAUAUGCAAAUAAAGAAAGAAUAAACUUACAUAAUUAUUUUAUAUGUUUUAAAUUGUAACGGUGGUUUACUCAUAUUUUUUUAUGAUAAAAAACCUUAGUCUUAAAUACUAUAUUUUGCUUAACAGUGGGACUUGAACACUCACUACUUAGGAAAGACUAAACAUUUACAAACACAUUAAUAUAAUUUGACUAACAGCCCUUUAACAGUGGUUUGCUCACUUACAAGUUACAAGUAGGGGUAGACUUACCUUAUAGUAAGAGAUAGUAUACACUACCACUCAACUUUAUUGGCGAAAUGUAAAAAAUAGCGUAAAAUUUUUGUUUUACUCUUCAUUUUAUGUAUUACGUUACAUCUGAAUCUAAAAAAUAAUUUUAUGCUACCCUUGAAUUUUUUUCUAGAUCCGUCACUACUUACAAGUAAUUUUUGUUGAGUUAGAUUUUACUAUGUAUGUUUAUUUGUUCUAUUAUUGAUAGAUUGAGAAACUAAUAAAAUAUUCACAUUUAAUUUAAAUGAAUAAUAAUGAACCAAAGCAAAACUUUAACAUGGGUUGUGAGGGGCAAACACUACUCAUGAACAUUGGUUGAGUACAAAUGAUGAAGCUUAAGGAACAAGAAUAUGGUGCAAAACUAUUUUUUUUUUUUUCCUUUGGUUUCGUUCUCCUGUUAUUUUGUUUAAACAAAAAUAAACAAUUCUCCCGGUGAGGAUAGUUUUCGUAGUUCGAGUCGGCACACACCCCUUGACCGGUUUUUUUGCGUACACAUGCCUUUUAAUUUUUUUAUACGGGCCUUCUAUAUUUCUUUUAAUUUUAUACUAGGUUAGAACCCCGUGUAUUACACGAGAUUGAAUAAAUGUAAUUUUAUAUACUAAAUAAAAAAAUAAUAUAUUUUUAAAAACCUUUUUUAUUACAUGUGUUGAGUAAUAUAAUUUUAUAUAUUAAAUAAUAAAAAAGUUAUAUCUUGGUUUGAAUAAAUGUAAUUUUGUAUACCAAAUAAUAAAAAAGUUAUGUUUUUAAAAACCCUUGUGUAUUCACGGGUGGAAGAAAUGUAAAUUUAAAUACUAAAUAAUAAAAAAAGUUAUAUU
Molecule: long non-coding RNA, 1661 nt
Filed under: Helianthus annuus (common sunflower)
Lineage: Eukaryota; Viridiplantae; Streptophyta; Magnoliopsida; Asterales; Asteraceae
Description: hypothetical non coding rna
Source: RNAcentral